GAUGAACGCUGGCGGCGUGCCUAAUACAUGCAAGUCGAGCGAACAGACGAGGAGCUUGCUCCUCUGACGUUAGCGGCGGACGGGUGAGUAACACGUGGAUAACCUACCUAUAAGACUGGGAUAACUUCGGGAAACCGGAGCUAAUACCGGAUAAAAUAUUGAACCGCAUGGUUCAAUAGUGAAAGACGGUUUUGCUGUCACUUAUAGAUGGAUCCGCGCCGCAUUAGCUAGUUGGUAAGGUAACGGCUUACCAAGGCAACGAUGCGUAGCCGACCUGAGAGGGUGAUCGGCCACACUGGAACUGAGACACGGUCCAGACUCCUACGGGAGGCAGCAGUAGGGACUCUUCCGCAAUGGGCGAAAGCCUGACGGAGCAACGCCGCGUGAGUGAUGAAGGUCUUCGGAUCGUAAAACUCUGUUAUUAGGGAAGAACAAAUGUGUAAGUAACUAUGCACGUCUUGACGGUACCUAAUCAGAAAGCCACGGCUAACUACGUG
RNAcentral lists this ribosomal RNA (497 nucleotides) under uncultured bacterium. Its description in RNAcentral is "partial 16S ribosomal RNA". It matches the Rfam family "Bacterial small subunit ribosomal RNA", at positions 28 to 507 of the family's 1533-position model. The record is from RNAcentral.